CUACGGGCGGCUCCAGUGAGGAAUUUUGCGCAAUGGGGGAAACCCUGACGCAGCAACGCCGCGUGAGUGAAGAAGGCUUUCGGGUCGUAAAGCUCUGUCAGAUAGGAAAAAAGUUCAUAUGUAAAUAGCUUAUGAAUCUGAUGGUACUAUCAGAGGAAGCACCGGCUAACUCCGUGCCAGCAGCCGCGGUAAUACGGAGGGUGCAAGCGUUGUUCGGAAUUACUGGGCGUAAAGGGCGUGUAGGCGGUAUGGUAAGUCAGAUGUGAAAGCCCUGGGCUUAACUCAGGAAGUGCAUUCGAUACUGCCAUCCUUGAGUAUGGGAGAGGAGAGUAGAAUUCCCAGUGUAGAGGUGAAAUUCGUAGAUAUUGGGAGGAAUACCCGUGGCGAAGGCGACUCUCUGGACCAAUACUGACGCUGAGACGCGAAAGCGUGGGGAGCAAACAGGAUUAGAUACCCGCGUAGUC
Molecule: ribosomal RNA, 464 nt
Filed under: uncultured bacterium
Lineage: Bacteria
Description: partial 16S ribosomal RNA
Rfam family: Bacterial small subunit ribosomal RNA
Source: RNAcentral